Molecule: ribosomal RNA, 445 nt
Filed under: uncultured bacterium
Lineage: Bacteria
Description: partial 16S ribosomal RNA
Rfam family: Bacterial small subunit ribosomal RNA
Source: RNAcentral
GUGAGGAAUAUUGGUCAAUGGGCGGGAGCCUGAACCAGCCAAGUCGCGUGAAGGAAGAAGGAUCUAUGGUUCGUAAACUUCUUUUGCAGGGGAAUAAAGUGCAGGACGUGUCCUGUUUUGUAUGUACCCUGAGAAUAAGGAUCGGCUAACUCCGUGCCAGCAGCCGCGGUAAUACGGAGGAUCCGAGCGUUAUCCGGCUUUAUUGGGUUUAAAGGGUGCGUAGGUGGUUUGAUAAGUCAGCGGUGAAAGUUUGCAGCUUAACUGUAAAAAUGCCGUUGAAACUGUCGGACUUGAGUGUAAAUGAGGUAGGCGGAAUGCGUGGUGUAGCGGUGAAAUGCAUAGAUAUCACGCAGAACUCCGAUUGCGAAGGCAGCUUACUAAGCUACAACUGACACUGAAGCACGAAAGCGUGGGGAUCAAACAGGAUUAGAUACCCUAGUAGUCC